AGAGUUUGAUCCUGGCUCAGAUUGAACGCUGGCGGCAGGCCUAACACAUGCAAGUCGAGCGGUAGAGAGAAGCUUGCUUCUCUUGAGAGCGGCGGACGGGUGAGUAAUGCCUAGGAAUCUGCCUGGUAGUGGGGGAUAACGUUCGGAAACGGACGCUAAUACCGCAUACGUCCUACGGGAGAAAGCAGGGGACCUUCGGGCCUUGCGCUAUCAGAUGAGCCUAGGUCGGAUUAGCUAGUUGGUGGGGUAAUGGCUCACCAAGGCGACGAUCCGUAACUGGUCUGAGAGGAUGAUCAGUCACACUGGAACUGAGACACGGUCCAGACUCCUACGGGAGGCAGCAGUGGGGAAUAUUGGACAAUGGGCGAAAGCCUGAUCCAGCCAUGCCGCGUGUGUGAAGAAGGUCUUCGGAUUGUAAAGCACUUUAAGUUGGGAGGAAGGGUUGUAGAUUAAUACUCUGCAAUUUUGACGUUACCGACAGAAUAAGCACCGGCUAACUCUGUGCCAGCAGCCGCGGUAAUACAGAGGGUGCAAGCGUUAAUCGGAAUUACUGGGCGUAAAGCGCGCGUAGGUGGUUUGUUAAGUUGGAUGUG
This 593-nucleotide ribosomal RNA is filed under the name uncultured Gammaproteobacteria bacterium. Its description in RNAcentral is "bacterial SSU rRNA". It matches the Rfam family "Bacterial small subunit ribosomal RNA", at positions 8 to 596 of the family's 1533-position model. Lineage: Bacteria; Pseudomonadati; Pseudomonadota; Gammaproteobacteria. The record is from RNAcentral.